GUAGAACUACCUUUGGGAAUGACACAACCUUUGAUCAGUUUAAAAAAAAUACCAUAUACUCUUCUCCAUGUGCGUAGCAACGCUUGUAACAUGAUUCUUAUAGUGUUUGGUAAGAAUCUUCUUGACUUCCAUAUUUUUCUCAUAAUUCUUGUUUAGAUCAUGAUACCUUCAUGUUCAUCCAAGCUGUAAAAUCAACUUGCGUUUAUCCAAAAAUAGCCAUCUUAGCAAUUGUUUGUGAAACGUAGGAAAUAUUGUAUUUGACUCAUUCUUGUGUCCUAGGAAUUUAAUCCAUGCACAUCUACAAUUGUCGUUAACAUGGCAAGUUCAUGUUUUUUUACUAUUGACAGAUGCAGUAUUUGCAAGACCAAUUAAGUCAAUGUUGGUAUCAUUAUUGAUAGUCCUUAUAUGUGAGCAAAAAACCUGCGGAUUAGUGAUUAGAAAAUUGCUUUUUUGACAAUGAAUACUUCCUAUUGACACAAGUAAAUGACACUU
Molecule: long non-coding RNA, 492 nt
Filed under: Medicago truncatula (barrel medic)
Lineage: Eukaryota; Viridiplantae; Streptophyta; Magnoliopsida; Fabales; Fabaceae
Description: long non-coding RNA (MTRU_LNC004660)
Source: RNAcentral